This 425-nucleotide ribosomal RNA is filed under the name uncultured bacterium. RNAcentral describes it as "bacterial SSU rRNA". It matches the Rfam family "Bacterial small subunit ribosomal RNA", at positions 355 to 776 of the family's 1533-position model. The record is from RNAcentral.
UGAGGAAUAUUGGUCAAUGGGUGCAAACCUGAACCAGCCAUGCCGCGUGAGGGAUGACGGCUCUCGUAGUUGUAAACCUCUUUUGUAUGGGAAAAACCCAUGGGUCGUGUACCCGUGCUGAUUGUACCAUGCGAAUAAGCAUCGGCUAACUCCGUGCCAGCAGCCGCGGUAAUACGGGGGAUGCAAGCGUUAUCCGGAUUUAUUAGGUUUAAAGGGUGUGUGGGCGGGAUGAUAAGUCAGUGGUGAAAUCUCUCGGCUCAACUGAGAAACUGCCAUUGAUACUGUCGUUCUUGAAUAUAGUUGAGGUAGGCGGAAUGUGUAAUGUAGCGGUGAAAUGCUUAGAUAUUACACAGAACACCGAUUGCGGAGGCAGCUUACUAAACUAUGAUUGACGCUGAGACACGAAAGCGUGGGGAGCGAACAGG